AGGAGAGAUGGCUUAAAGGGGUACGCGGGCUUCUUCCGCGAAUUCGCUCCAGGAUGGGACUGCGUCCGAUCAGGCUGUUGGCGGGGUAAUGGCCCACCAAACCUGUAACCGGUACGGGCCUUGAGAGAGGUGGCCCGGAGAUGGACACUGAGAGAAGGGUCCAGGUCCUACGGGGCGCAGCAGGCGCGAAACCUUCGCAAUGCGCGAAAGCGUGACGAGGUUAAUCCGAGUGACUUCCGCUGAGGAGGUCUUUUGUCAGCUGUAAAUAGGCAGGCGAAUAAGGGGAGGGCAAGCCUGGUGUCAGCCGCCGCGGUAAUACCAGCUCCUCGAGUGGUCGGGGCGAUUAUUGGGCCUAAAGCAUCCGUAGCCGGUUCCGUAGGUCCUCUGUUAAAUCCAACCGCUUAACGGUUGACCUGCAGAGGAUACCGCGGGACUAGGAGGCGGGAGAGGCGGACGGUACUCCGCGUGUAGGGGUAAAAUCCUUUGAUCCGCGGAAGACCACCAGUGGCGAAGGCGGUCCGCCAGAACGCGCCCGACGGUGAGGGAUGAAAGCUGGGGGAGCGAACCGGAUUAGAUACCCGGGUAGUCCCAGCCGUAAACGAUGCUAGCUAGAUGAUUCAUUCGCAAGUCGCGAAUGAAGUGUCGCAGGGAAGCCGUUA
RNAcentral lists this ribosomal RNA (659 nucleotides) under uncultured archaeon. Its description in RNAcentral is "bacterial SSU rRNA". It matches the Rfam family "Archaeal small subunit ribosomal RNA", at positions 175 to 817 of the family's 1478-position model. The record is from RNAcentral.